Molecule: long non-coding RNA, 2614 nt
Organism: Hevea brasiliensis (rubber tree)
Lineage: Eukaryota; Viridiplantae; Streptophyta; Magnoliopsida; Malpighiales; Euphorbiaceae
Exons: 3
Source: RefSeq, a predicted model, not a curated record
UCCAUUUUUCUGAACAUGCCCUUUCGCUUUCUCCUCUCCGUCGUCUCUCUCACAUCCACUCUCUCAAUUCAUAAACUGAAUUGAAUCUAACAUUAAAUUUUCUUCUUCUACACUGGAAAUUUAAAACCAUUUUCAGUUUAGAUGUUUCUAUAUUUACUCACAUUUACUAACCCUAAACCGAAUUGAAUCCAGAUUUACUUUGCUUCUUCUGCAAACCAUGUCUUCACCGUUCAUUUUAAUCGCUUCCAUUUCUCUUCUACACUGAAUCGUUUAGAAGCUCUAGGGUUUUUGAGAAUUGAAAUUUUGGGAGGUUUUAUUUGCAACUUCAUUCUCUAGGCUUUAAUCUUUCCUUCUCUUGCAGAAACCUAAUCGAUAACUACAAGUCUUCCAUCUCAGGUGGUUCCUUUGACCUUAAAGUGGUUUGUGUUGCCACCGGAAGGAGAAAGGCUCCAUGCCCUGGUGAGGACAAUUUCAAGGCAGCAGUGCUGGUACUUGAAGAAGACGGGUCCUACAUUUCGAGUUCUCUAUCAGGUUGGGUUAGAGUUUUAAGAAAAAAUAUGGGUUUGGGUCUAUGUAAUGGGCUGAUAUUGAGUAAGCUGGGUUGGACUUGUAGCUAGUGUUCAAUUUUUGGGCCCUCGGCCGUUUGCUAGGUUGUAAUCUUGGCCUGUUAAAGGCUUUUAAUGCAUCUCUGCCUAAAAUUGUGAAAAGAGAGUUGCCGAUAUCCAUUGGCUGUGGAGCCCUGAGUAUUCCUGCGAGAGAUCAAAACAAGUGGGCCUUUCUGCGCUGGAAUCUUUCUUUGGAUGCAAAUGGAUCUUCAAGCUCGUCUCCCUUCGCUUAUACCCUCUAGACGUCAAGAUUAACCAAUUUUUCAUUUCUUCCUUUAAUAAAUACUAUCUUCUUAGACCUUUCUGCUCCCGAGGGAAUUCUCAGAACCCCAACCAAGACGGCGACGUCAUUUUUAGGCCUUCAAUUACUAACCCUCUUCACAACUUCAUCAGCUAUUUAGAAUUUGCGGGGUUCCUUUUUUUUUCUAUUUUGUGAUUCUGUGAUGGGAGAAUGGUAGCUAGAAGUCGAAGCCUUGUCCAUGGAGUUGAAUACUUUUAACUAUGUGGUCCUUACAAUUUUGAAUUUUUAGAUUAAGUGGGUUUGCAAUGAAUUUAUCUCAAUUAUCAAUUGAGCAGCAUUAAGAGAAUUAAUCAAUUUCCAAGACUGACUUCUUAGUAUUUUGUUGCUGUGAAAUUCUGCAACUAGUGUUUGUUUCUUGAGAAAAAUAAAGGAAAAUGAGAAACGAAGGAUAAUUCAGAGAGAGAAGAAGUAUCUAGAGAAGGGAAGAUAAGAGGGUGAGUUUCAUCAAAUUUCUGUAUUGAUUAACAUCCAAUUGCAAGUAAUGUACAAGGUUCAAGUUUUAGAUUAAGUGGGUUUGUAUUGAAUUAUUCUGAGUUAUCAGUAGAGCAGCAGUAAGAGAAACUUCCAAGACUGAUUUCUUCUUAGUAUUGUGUUGCAAUGAAAUUCUGCAACUAGUUUUGGUUUCUUGAGAAAAUAAAGGAUAAUGAGAAAAGAAGGAGAAUUCAGAGAGAGAAGUAUCUGGAAAAGACAAGAGAGCGAGUCUCAUCAUAUUCACAACUGAUUAACAUCCUGAAUCACAUCACUAUAUCUUAAAGUGAACUAACUCUAGCUGAGCUUUAACUAAUUAAUAGACUAACAGCCCCUUUUAACCUUCUACAGCUGUUCCUGCCAUAAUUUCUUCUUGCUUAUUCCUCCUUGAAGCUUCCUUAUUCUUCUCUACAUCAUAUUGAGAACCCGGUAAAUGCCCAAUAUUUAGUUCAGUCCUCAUAAAGUAGCUAUUCCAAUAUGGCGAAUAAAUCCAUCCACCAAUCCGCAUGGUGAUCAUGCAAAAUCUCUCCAGAAGCUGCUCUCUUAGAUGGUCUUUUCGAAGCACCGUAAGGGGAGGAUCCCAUCCUUUGAGCUUUUGUUGUUUACUAUAAUGCGGACCAGUGGAAGAUCCCUCGACUUCAAAAGCCUUAAAAUUGGACCUUGUGAAGGUUGCUACUAUAUGAUGAAUCGUAGAAUUAGCACCUUGUCACUUGUGUUUGAAGACAAACUGAUCACAUCAUUUCCAACUCAUCAAUAAACCAACCCCAAAAAGAAAAUUACAAGGCUAGGUGCCAGUUUCAUUGCUACGAAACUUAAAUUACAGUAAGUUAUAUAUAUAUGUUGGAAUAGAUUUUAAUUGGGGUAGUUUAAGAGUUGGUGGUUUCAUAACUACCCCAUAUAAAGAGAGGACUUUAUCUUUGUCAGACUUUAAGCAAGGUAGUUUAGGGAGACCUAAUAGAAAGCUGGAUGCCUGCUUUUAAUCCCUAACCAAGAAGAAGGGGUUGUAGAUUUGUUCAAAUUGAUUCUAAUCAAGUCAAGAAAAUCUUCCUCAAACAGACUGGGAUAGAGCCUGGUCUAACUUCAGGAAACAGGGGAAGAAAACCCUCUUGUCUCAGUUCUCUCCAAACAAGUAUGUGAGUUGGAAUCCUUGGUGCUUGAACUACCCACCAUCUGAAGAGGUUGCUCCCAUCAAGAGGAGAGAGAUGUCAAACCCAUGUUAUGGAACAGUCCAAGGUUUAUU